This 468-nucleotide small RNA is filed under the name Pan troglodytes (chimpanzee). RNAcentral's name for it is "processed transcript". Lineage: Eukaryota; Metazoa; Chordata; Mammalia; Primates; Hominidae. The record is from RNAcentral.
GCCCGUGUCACGCGAGACCCGGCGGGGGCCGGGACCGCCCGAGCCGCCCCUCAGACCGAGCCGGCCGCCUCCGCUGCCGCGGCCGCCUCCUCUUCGGGGUCAUUAAAGCCAAUGAGCCGCGCGCCUCUGCCGAGCGCAGCCAACUAAAUCGGCUUGGAUGAUUCGCGACCUGAGCAAGAUGUACCCGCAGACCAGACACCCGGCACCGCAUCAGCCUGCUCAACCCUUUAAAUUUACAAUUUCCGAAUCCUGUGAUCGGAUUAAGGAAGAGUUUCAGUUUUUACAGGCUCAAUACCACAGUCUGAAGCUGGAAUGUGAGAAACUCGCCAGUGAGAAGACAGAGAUGCAGCGGCAUUAUGUCAUGUAUUAUGAAAUGUCCUAUGGGUUGAAUAUAGAAAUGCACAAGCAGUAUUGCAGGUUGUUAAGAAGAAAUUGACUUGAAGAGGCCGACUGCUGCCCAUCAUGGAG